GUGGUGGGGAACCCAGGGAUGGUAGUGUGGUGGGGAUCCCAGGGAUGGUAGUGUGAUGGGGAACCCAGGGAUGGUAGUGUGGUGGGGAACCCAGGGAUGGUAGUGUGGUGGGGAACCCAGGGAUGGUAAUGUGGUGGGGAACCCAGGGAUGGUAAUGUGGUGGGGAACCCAGGGAUGGUAGUGUGGUGGGGAACCUAGGGAUGGUAGUGUGCUGGGGAACCCAGGGCUGGUAGUGUGAUGGGGAUCCCAUGGAUGGUAGUGUGGUGGGGAACCCAGGGAUGGUAAUGUGGUGGGGAACCCAGGGAUGGUAGUGUGGUGGGGAUCCCAGGGAUAGUAGUGUGGUGGGGAUCCCAGGGAUGGUAGUGUGAUGGGGAACCCAGGGAUGGUAAUGUGGUGGGGAACCCAGGGAUGGUAGUGUGGUGGGGAACCCAGGGAUGGUAGUGUGAUGG
Oncorhynchus tshawytscha (Chinook salmon) is the source of this 449-nucleotide long non-coding RNA. Lineage: Eukaryota; Metazoa; Chordata; Actinopteri; Salmoniformes; Salmonidae. The record is from Ensembl.